Molecule: long non-coding RNA, 2079 nt
Organism: Hemicordylus capensis (graceful crag lizard)
Lineage: Eukaryota; Metazoa; Chordata; Lepidosauria; Squamata; Cordylidae
Exons: 4
Source: RefSeq, a predicted model, not a curated record
UGUCAACUGACAGAAGUGUGAGGUAAUUCUGGAGCCGUGUGAGGGAGUCGCUCUCUGCCUGACACAGAUGAGAGAGUUGUGGUGGGGGAAGAAGAGGAUGCUGCCUCGAAAAUAAUCCCACACACUGCUUCUUCCCCACACUGCUCUACAUAUCUACCUGGAUUUCCCAGUAUUUAUCUCCCUCCCCCAAUUACCUAAGAGUUUAAUGAACUUCCAUCAUUAAAGAGGCAUUGCACCUACAACAUAAUCUAAUAGCUGGCUGGCAAAAUGUGUCAGCAUGCUGGCUUCAUUAUCUAAACCAGGGAUGUUGGGUCCCCAGAUGUUAUUGGACUUCAACUCCCAUAAUCCCCAACCAAAGGCCGCUGGGGAUUAUGGGAACUGAAGUCCAAUAACAUCUGGGGACCCAAUGUUGAGAAUCCCUGAUCUAAACAAUCAUGCUCUGCCUAACUUCACCCGUACUUACUUUCCAUAGACUUUAAUAGGGAAAGAAAACCUUAAUAACUUUUGAACCGCUGCUCAAAACUUCACCAGACCAAAAAACAGCACUGUCCGCAAAAACAGCAAAAAACUUCACCAGACCAAAAAACAGUCUGUCAGAGUACAUCAGAUGUUUUCUUCCAAAUUUGCAAGAAAUUUGUGCUACACUGUUCUAAAGACUGGGGGGAAGCACCAAAGUGUCAGUUUUCUGCACCUUUUUACCUGCUGCAGCUUGGCAUUUUAAAAAUCAGAUAUCUUUGUAGACAUCAUAAAGUAGAUCACACACACUAAGUUUCAAGUUAUUAGUUUAACAGUUGUCAUAUUGAUAAGCAAUAUAAUUUGGAGGCGUAUAAUAGUGGAACUUUAAAAAAAUAAUAAUCUCCUUUAUUAAAGGGGCUCUACUAAGCCCCUUUAAUCCCACAAUUUCCUGCCUAGCAUGAUGAGAGACAAUGUCCAAUCUUUAGCAGCUCUGAACUUAUAUUUUGGUAAUCUCCAAAGGAGAGCAGAUAUUAUCUUUCCUGAGAGUAAAACUCCAACUGAACUGGCAUCAGUUGAGAAAUGGGCAACUGAACAGUGAUGAUGCAAAAAAUUGUGGGGUUGUCCCUGUGGCAACCUGCAGGUUCUGAUGUUGGGGCCAGAAGAUGAGGUCAUGGCAGAAAGCAGCAGAGCAGACCAGGAGCCACCCAUCACAGCAGAGCCAAUGAUGGUCUUUUUAAGAGCUGAGGACAUAAGAAGAGCCCUGCUGGAUCUGGCCUAAGGCCUAUCUAGUCUAGCAUCCUGUCUCACAGAGUGGCCAACAAGAUACCUCUGGGAGCCUACAGCCCUGUAGCACAUUCUUCUCCUGAUGGGAUUUUCCACUAGCUGACAUCACAUACCCUAUUAGAAGACUCCUUCAAGAAGCCAAGAAAAACAAGGCUGUUGGGUAUAAGACUGGAGCAAUCAAGAGCUUACUAUAGGCAACUAAAGGAUUUUCUUCAUGGCUUUGGUGAGGACAGCUAGAAUGUCAGGCAAGAAAAUGGGGAAGCUAUUUUAAAAUCUGUGCCUAUACUGGUGACCUACAGCAUUAUUUAGCAAGGAGUAUUUAUUUUAAGGUCCAAUCAAAAGUAUAUUGACAUUGAUGAAAAGAGUCCUGGAGACUUAAGUGGGCAAUAUUAGGCUUUACGUGCACAUUUUGGAUAUGACAAAUGAAGCGGUAAAAAAUCAUUAUAUGCACUGCACUGCUGCGCCAGUGUACGUGAAGCAUUCUGACAUGACAUCUGAUGUUCCAAAGUGGUUUUUAACUCAUUCUGUGUAGCAUUGCCUCAGGAGAAAACCAUUCAUUCAAGAACAUGUGUGAGAAGAGCUGCAGUAGCCUACCGCAGUGGCCCCGGGCGACAUGCUCUGUGUCACCUGCUGUAUUGCCCUGUCUUUGAGACACCCUGACUUCCUUUUCCUUCAAGCAUCUGAGCAUUUCCCCCCACCUUGUUCACUAAGGAAAGCCAAGUUCCUUUGUCCCAAUGUCCCAGCUCUAAAAAGAGACAUUUUUGACAUGUUCUUUGUUCCUAGAUUGUCUGUGUACACAAUGUAAAAGGCUGCAUCAAUAAAGAAAACAUUGCAAUUUGA